AUCCAGCUGACGAGUCACAAACAGGAUGAGACACACGUCCUGGAU
Molecule: non-coding RNA, 45 nt
Filed under: Schistosoma curassoni
Lineage: Eukaryota; Metazoa; Platyhelminthes; Trematoda; Strigeidida; Schistosomatidae
Source: RNAcentral